Molecule: long non-coding RNA, 271 nt
Organism: Sander lucioperca (pikeperch)
Lineage: Eukaryota; Metazoa; Chordata; Actinopteri; Perciformes; Percidae
Exons: 3
Source: RefSeq, a predicted model, not a curated record
AAGUGACUCAUACUAGUAAUAGACCGAUUUUAUCGGCUGGCCGAUAUAUCGGGCCAAUAUUUGCGUUUUUACGUGUAUCGGCAUCGGCCGAUACGCGGUUGCUGCAUUCGCCGAUAGUUUUUUCCCGGAAUUAUUUACAGACAGGUGUCCACAGGCAGCUCUGUGUUGCUGGAGAUGCUCCAGUUCACGUGCAGACCAUGCACUGCCCCUCCCCCACUAGCAGAGUGCUGGUGCUGGAAGCCUGGCAGGCUUUCAGCACCAUGGCAGUCUU